Molecule: ribosomal RNA, 353 nt
Filed under: uncultured bacterium
Lineage: Bacteria
Description: partial 16S ribosomal RNA
Rfam family: Bacterial small subunit ribosomal RNA
Source: RNAcentral
CCUACGGGUGGCAGCAGUAGGGAAUAUUGCGCAAUGGGGGAAACCCUGACGCAGCAACGCCGCGUGAUGGAUGAAGGUUUUAGGAUUGUAAAGUCCUGUUAGUAGAGAAGAUUAUGACGGUAUCUAACGAAGAAGCACCGGCUAACUCCGUUCCAGCAACCGCGGUAAUACGGAGGGUGCAAGCGUUACUCGGAAUCACUGGGCGUAAAGAGUGCGUAGGCGGGGUAAUAAGUCAGGUGUGAAAUCCUGUAGCUUAACUACAGAUCUGCAUUUGAAACUGUUAAGCUGGAGUGUGGGAGAGGUAAAUGGAAUUCCUGGUGUAGGGGUAAAAUGCGUAGAUAUCAAGAGGAAUA